AGGCAUGCGUUCCAUUAGGCAGUUGGCGGGGUAACGGCCCACCAAACCGACGAUGGAUAGGGGUUCUGAGAGGAAGGUCCCCCACAUUGGUACUGAGACACGGACCAAACUCCUACGGGAGGCAGCAGUGAGGAAUAUUGGUCAAUGGGCGUAAGCCUGAACCAGCCAAGUCGCGUGAGGGAUGAAGGUUCUAUGGAUCGUAAACCUCUUUUAUAAGGGAAUAAAGUGCGGGACGUGUCCCGUUUUGUAUGUACCUUAUGAAUAAGGAUCGGCUAACUCCGUGCCAGCAGCCGCGGUAAUACGGAGGAUCCGAGCGUUAUCCGGAUUUAUUGGGUUUAAAGGGUGCGUAGGCGGCCUUUUAAGUCAGCGGUGAAAGUCUGUGGCUCAACCAUAGAAUUGCCGUUGAAACUGGGAGGCUUGAGUAUGUUUGAGGCAGGCGGAAUGCGUGGUGUAGCGGUGAAAUGCUUAGAUAUCACGCAGAACCCCGAUUGCGAAGGCAGCCUGCCAAGCCAUGACUGACGCUGAUGCACGAAAGCGUGGGGAUCAAACAGGAUUAGAUACCCUGGUAGUCCACGCAGUAAACGAUGAUCACUAGCUGUUUGCGAUACACAGUAAGCGGC
This 620-nucleotide ribosomal RNA is filed under the name uncultured bacterium. Its description in RNAcentral is "bacterial SSU rRNA". It matches the Rfam family "Bacterial small subunit ribosomal RNA", at positions 227 to 847 of the family's 1533-position model. The record is from RNAcentral.